UGGGAUAGGGAUCGGACCCGACACCUCUGGCGUUACUUGUCUUACACUCAUGCGAUAGUUCUCUUAUUCACCAGGAUUAUGUGAAAGUAACGCUUAACUGGUGACGUUAUCUCGAUCAGCGGUAGCAAAAAGUCCACAUGUCAAGAUCAAGCUAACUAGGGCGAUUAACAAGAGAGAGAAAAAUGCCAAUA
Pecten maximus is the source of this 191-nucleotide long non-coding RNA. RefSeq lists it as uncharacterized. The transcript is spliced from 2 exons. The record is from RefSeq and is a predicted model, not a curated record. NCBI's taxonomy places the organism in Eukaryota, Metazoa, Mollusca, Bivalvia, Pectinida, Pectinidae.